RNAcentral lists this ribosomal RNA (416 nucleotides) under uncultured bacterium. RNAcentral's name for it is "bacterial SSU rRNA". It matches the Rfam family "Bacterial small subunit ribosomal RNA", at positions 32 to 426 of the family's 1533-position model. The record is from RNAcentral.
AAUCAACGCUGGCGGCGUGCCUCAGACAUGCAAGUCGAACGCGAAAGUCCCCUUCGGGGGGACAAGUAGAGUGGCGCACGGGUGAGUAACACGUAGGUAAUCUACCUUUGGAUGGGGAAUAACAACCGGAAACGGUUGCUAAUACCGCAUAAUGCAGCGGCACCUAAUGGUGACAGUUGUUAAAGCGGGGGGAUCGAAAGACCUCGCGUCUAAAGAGGAGCCUGCGGCGGAUUAGCUAGUUGGUAAGGAAUGGCUUACCAAGGCUACGAUCCGUAACCGGCCUGAGAGGGCGGUCGGUCACACUGACACUGACAUACGGGUCAGACUCCUACGGGAGGCAGCAGUCGGGAAUUUUGGGCAAUGGGCGAAAGCCUGACCCAGCAACGCCGCGUGAAGGAUGAAAUCCCUCGGGAUGU